GAGGGUAGCGCUCAGCGGUGGAGUGCGUGCCUAGCAUGCACGAGGUCCUGAGUUCAAUCCCCAGUACCUCCA
This 72-nucleotide transfer RNA is filed under the name Camelus bactrianus (Bactrian camel). It matches the Rfam family "tRNA". From Rfam's summary of the family: Transfer RNA (tRNA) molecules are approximately 80 nucleotides in length. The record is from Rfam by way of RNAcentral. Lineage: Eukaryota; Metazoa; Chordata; Mammalia; Artiodactyla; Camelidae. RNAcentral also lists the same sequence under 2 other names.